This 497-nucleotide ribosomal RNA is filed under the name uncultured bacterium. RNAcentral's name for it is "partial 16S ribosomal RNA". It matches the Rfam family "Bacterial small subunit ribosomal RNA", at positions 28 to 507 of the family's 1533-position model. The record is from RNAcentral.
GAUGAACGCUGGCGGCGUGCCUAAUACAUGCAAGUCGAGCGAACGGACGAGAAGCUUGCUCCUCUGAUGUUAGCGGCGGACGGGCGAGUAACACGUGGAUAACCUACCUAUAAGACUGGGAUAACUUCGGGAAACCGGAGCUAAUACCGGAUGAUAUUUUGAACCGCAUGGUUCAAAAGUGAAAGACGGUCUUGCUGUCACUUAUAGAUGGAUCCGCGCUGCAUUAGCUAGUUGGUAAGGUAACGGCUUACCAAGGCAACGAUGCAUAGCCGACCUGAGAGGGUGAUCGGCCACACUGGAACUGAGACACGGUCCAGACUCCUACGGGAGGCAGCAGUAGGGAAUCUUCCGCAAUGGGCGAAAGCCUGACGGAGCAACGCCGCGUGAGUGAUGAAGGUCUUCGGAUCGUAAAACUCUGUUAUUAGGGAAGAACAUAUGUGUAAGUAACUGUGCACAUCUUGACGGUACCUAAUCAGAAAGCCACGGCUAACUACGUG